UUUUAAAAAAAUAAAAAAAGCUCCUGCUCUCAGAACGUAAAGAUGGAUGGAAGAUGAAGAUGGAUGGAUAUAAAGUGGGACAUCAAUGGGAGAAAAAAGUUAGACAGUCCAACUUUUGAUGACAACUACAGUGACCUCUGCAAGAAGAGACAGGAAUUCAUAAAUGGUGAAGACAUCUGGCGAGAAGCACCCAAGAGGAAGAGCAAACCAAACAGCAAGUGGAAAGAUGUGGCAGAGGAGGACCAUGAAGUUCAAACAAAAAGUCUAUGCCCAGGCGAAGUUCCCCGACACCUCCAUGCAAGAUGUCAGACGGAUCAUUAGAAAGAAAUGCAACAACAUAAGAGAUGCAAAACAACUAAAUGAAAAUAAGUCAUAAAAGUAAUGUUUCUGUCAAGAUAUUUUUGUUCCGAAAACUUGCACUUUUUUCACCUUCUUUUGACAACCAAGAACUUCAGUUCUCAGUUCUUAUUUAGUUCUGAGCUGAAAACAUACUUUGUUUAGAUUUUUGAUGACGAUUGCAGUUUUUCUUGUUCCAUUUUUCACAAAGAAUGACUUCCUUGUG
Molecule: long non-coding RNA, 562 nt
Organism: Fundulus heteroclitus (mummichog)
Lineage: Eukaryota; Metazoa; Chordata; Actinopteri; Cyprinodontiformes; Fundulidae
Exons: 3
Source: RefSeq, a predicted model, not a curated record